CCUACGGGAGGCAGCAGUGGGGAAUAUUGCACAAUGGGCGCAAGCCUGACGCAGCAACGCCGCGUGAGUGAAGAAGGUCUUCGGAUCGUAAAGCUCUGUCCUUGAGGAUGAACGAAGUGACGGUACUCAAGUAGCAAGCCCCGGCUAACUACGUGCCAGCAGCCGCGGUAAUACGUGGGUGGCAAGCGUUAUCCGGAAUUAUUGGGCGUAAAGAGUACGUAGGUGGUUUUGUAAGCGCGGGGUGAAAGGCCGUGGCUUAACCUUUGUACACAUGGCGAAUUGUAAGACUUGAGUGCAGGAGAGGAAAGCGGAAUUCCUAGUGUAGCGGUGAAAUGCUUAGAUAUUAGGAGGAACACCAGGGGCGAAGGCGGCUUACUGGACUGUAACUGACACUGAGGUACGAAAGCGUGGGGAGCAAACAGGAUUAGAUACCCCAGUAGUC
Molecule: ribosomal RNA, 442 nt
Filed under: uncultured bacterium
Lineage: Bacteria
Description: partial 16S ribosomal RNA
Rfam family: Bacterial small subunit ribosomal RNA
Source: RNAcentral